AGGAACAGCUUGCUGUUUCGCUGACGAGUGGCGGACGGGUGAGUAAUGUCUGGGAAACUGCCUGAUGGAGGGGGAUAACUACUGGAAACGGUAGCUAAUACCGCAUAACGUCGCAAGACCAAAGAGGGGGACCUUCGGGCCUCUUGCCAUCGGAUGUGCCCAGAUGGGAUUAGCUAGUAGGUGGGGUAACGGCUCACCUAGGCGACGAUCCCUAGCUGGUCUGAGAGGAUGACCAGCCACACUGGAACUGAGACACGGUCCAGACUCCUACGGGAGGCAGCAGUGGGGAAUAUUGCACAAUGGGCGCAAGCCUGAUGCAGCCAUGCCGCGUGUAUGAAGAAGGCCUUCGGGUUGUAAAGUACUUUCAGCGGGGAGGAAGGGAGUAAAGUUAAUACCUUUGCUCAUUGACGUUACCCGCAGAAGAAGCACCGGCUAACUCCGUGCCAGCAGCCGCGGUAAUACGGAGGGUGCAAGCGUUAAUCGGAAUUACUGGGCGUAAAGCGCACGCAGGCGGUUUGUUUAAGUCAGAUGUGAAAUCCCCGGGCUCAACCUGGGAACUGCAUCUGAUACUGGCAAGCUUGAGUCUCGUAGAGGGGGGUAGAAUUUCCAUG
Molecule: ribosomal RNA, 611 nt
Filed under: bacterium
Lineage: Bacteria
Description: bacterial SSU rRNA
Rfam family: Bacterial small subunit ribosomal RNA
Source: RNAcentral